ACCCCGCACAAGCGGUGGAUUAUGUGUUUAAUUCGACGCAACGCGAAGAACCUUACCAGGCCUUGACAUACUCGGCAAAGCUCUAGAGAUAGAGUGGGAGGUUUAUCCGGGAUACAGGUGGUGCAUGGUUGUCGUCAGCUCGUGUCGUGAGAUGUUGGGUUAAGUCCCGCAACGAGCGCAACCCUUGUCUUUAGUUACCAUCAUUCAGUUGGGGACUCUAGAGAGACUGCCGGUGAUAAACCGGAGGAAGGUGGGGAUGACGUCAAAUCAUCAUGCCCCUUAUGGCCUGGGCUACAAACGUAAUACAAUGGCGUAUACAAAGGGAUGCGAAAGGGCGACCUGGAGCAAAACUCACAAAGUACGUCUCAGUUCAGAUUGGAGUCUGCAACUCGACUCCAUGAAGGCGGAAUCGCUAGUAAUCGCGGAUCAGCAUGCCGCGGUGAAUACGUUCUCGGGGUUU
Molecule: ribosomal RNA, 460 nt
Filed under: uncultured Erysipelothrix sp.
Lineage: Bacteria; Bacillati; Bacillota; Erysipelotrichia; Erysipelotrichales; Erysipelotrichaceae
Description: bacterial SSU rRNA
Rfam family: Bacterial small subunit ribosomal RNA
Source: RNAcentral